GAGAAACUUGAAGAAAGUAUCCAGUGAAAAUAUGAGCUCCUUUCUUAAAAGAAGCAGUGCUCUGAUGAGGCCCAUCAAGAUCACUGCAGUCCGUGAAUGAUCUGAGCCACCUGACAAUCUAGAUGAAUGCGGACCUAUCAUACGUCUUGCCCACUGAGGCCCUGCUGGCCCAGGGGACUUGCUUUGGCCAAUGAAGUAUGCGCAGCAACGGCGUAUGUUACCUAGCAGAGCAGAAGGAGCUUCCAGAGCCACUGGGAGAUUCUGCCAUGGCUCUUUUCACUCUUCUAUUCUGGGGCCUGGAACGAAGCCCACAAAGGGCAUUAAUGUGAGAAAUAAACUUUUGUU
Molecule: long non-coding RNA, 345 nt
Organism: Molossus molossus (Pallas's mastiff bat)
Lineage: Eukaryota; Metazoa; Chordata; Mammalia; Chiroptera; Molossidae
Exons: 3
Source: RefSeq, a predicted model, not a curated record